RNAcentral lists this ribosomal RNA (717 nucleotides) under Copidapha maculiventris. Its description in RNAcentral is "eukaryotic LSU rRNA". It matches the Rfam family "Eukaryotic large subunit ribosomal RNA", at positions 2287 to 2842 of the family's 3401-position model. The record is from RNAcentral. Lineage: Eukaryota; Metazoa; Arthropoda; Insecta; Diptera; Tabanidae.
AUGCCUCGUCAUCUAAUUAGUGACGCGCAUGAAUGGAUUAACGAGAUUCCUACUGUCCCUAUCUACUAUCUAGCGAAACCACAGCCAAGGGAACGGGCUUGGAAUAAUUAGCGGGGAAAGAAGACCCUGUUGAGCUUGACUCUAGUCUGGCAGUGUAAGGAGACAUAAGAGGUGUAGCAUAAGUGGGAGAUAUAUUAGUUUCGGCUAAAUAUAUCAAAAAUGAAAUACCACUACUCUUAUUGUUUCCUUACUUACUUGAUAAAAUGGAACGUGUAUCAUUCACUUAGCCAUUACACGGAUAUAUUUAUAUAUUUUAUGGUAUUUUGUUUUGAUGCGAGCUUCUUGUUUAAAGUACCAAGAGUUUGUUAUAUACACCAAACAAAUUACAAUUAAAUUUGCUUUCCAUUAAUAAUGGUUUGUUAAAUAUUAAUUGAAUUUGGUAUAACUAUUAUACUCAGGUAUGAUCCAAUUCAAGGACAUUGCCAGGUGGGGAGUUUGACUGGGGCGGUACAUCUCUCAAAUAAUAACGGAGGUGUCCCAAGGCCAGCUCAGUGCGGACAGAAACCACACAUAGAGCAAAAGGGCAAAUGCUGACUUGAUCUCGGUGUUCAGUACAUACAGAGACAGCAAAAGCUCGGCCUAUCGAUCCUUUUGGUUUAAAGAGUUUUUAACAAGAGGUGUCAGAAAAGUUACCACAGGGAUAACUGGCUUGUGGCG